GACGAACGCCGGCGGCGUGCUUAACACAUGCAAGUCGAACGGAAAGGCCCUGCUUGCAGGGUACUCGAGUGGCGAACGGGUGAGUAACACGUGGGUGAUCUGCCCUGCACUUCGGGAUAAGCUUGGGAAACUGGGUCUAAUACCGGAUAGGAACCAUCUUCAGUGUGGGGAUUGGAAAGUUUUUUCGGUGUAGGACGAGCUCGCGGCCUAUCAGCUUGUUGGUGGAGUAAGGGCCUACCAAGGCGGCGACGGGUAGCCGGCCUGAGAGGGUGUACGGCCACAUUGGGACGGAGCUACGGCCCAGACUCCUACGGGAGGCAGGAGUGGGGAAUAUUGCACAAUGGGCGCAAGCCUGAUGCAGCGACGCCGCGUGGGGGAUGAAGGCCUUCGGGCUGUAAACUCCUUUCGCUAGGGACGAAGCUUUGUUGUGACGGUACCUAGAUAAGAAGCACCGGCUAACUACGUG
Molecule: ribosomal RNA, 466 nt
Filed under: uncultured bacterium
Lineage: Bacteria
Description: partial 16S ribosomal RNA
Rfam family: Bacterial small subunit ribosomal RNA
Source: RNAcentral